This 229-nucleotide ribosomal RNA is filed under the name uncultured bacterium. RNAcentral's name for it is "partial 16S ribosomal RNA". It matches the Rfam family "Bacterial small subunit ribosomal RNA", at positions 568 to 796 of the family's 1533-position model. The record is from RNAcentral.
CAUGUAGGCGGUCUGUCAAGUCUGAUGUGCAAGCCCGGGGCUCAACCCCGGAAGUGCAUUGGAAACUGGCAGACUUGAGUACGGGAGAGGAAAGUGGAAUUUCGAGUGUAGGGGUGAAAUCCGUAGAUAUUCGAAGGAACACCAGUGGCGAAGGCGGCUUUCUGGACCGAUACUGACGCUGAGAUGCGAAAGCGUGGGGAGCAAACAGGAUUAGAUACCCUGGUAGUCC